Molecule: long non-coding RNA, 2247 nt
Organism: Panthera uncia (snow leopard)
Lineage: Eukaryota; Metazoa; Chordata; Mammalia; Carnivora; Felidae
Exons: 3
Source: RefSeq, a predicted model, not a curated record
GCCUACGCAUGCGCCAAACGGCGCCCCCGGCGGAGGACUGCGUCUGCGCAGGCGCGGAACGGCCCGGGACGCUCUCUUCCCGUCGUCCUCCGCGGCCCGGGCGCGCAGCUGCGAUAGUUUCCGGACGCCGCGAGGCGGUGCGCUGCUGAAGGUGGCUCUCGAGGCUCGCGUGGUCGCCUGCGUGCGUGGCACCUCGCAAAGGUUCUUAAGUGUUGAGGAAGAGUCAGGAAAUGGAAAAACUGAUCUUAAAAUUCAUGUUUAAUUGCAAGGAACCCUAAAUAGUCAAAACAAUGUUGAAAAAGAACGAAGUUGGAAGAUGCACACUUGUGAUUUCAGAACUUACUACAAAGCUACAAUAAUCAAGAUGGCACUACUGGCAUAAGACUACACUUUUAGUGCAGUGGAAUAGAGUUGAGAGUCCAGAUAUAAACCCACGCAUUCAUGGGAAAAAAAUUUUUUUUUUAUGUUUGUGUAUUUUGAGAGAGGGGGGGAGAUGGAGACAGAGAAUCCCAAGCAGGCUCUGUGCUGAUAGCACAGAGCCUGAUGCGGGGCUCAAUCUCAUGAAUUGUGAGAUCAUGACCUGAGCCAAAAUCAAGAGUUGGAUCCUGAACCAACUGAGCCACCCAGGUGCCCUUUGGGCAAUUGGUUUUUGACAAGAAUGCCAAGACCAGUCAUGGUGGAAAGAAUAAUCUUUUGAAUGAAUGGUGCUGGAACAACAGACUAUCCAUAUGGAAAAAAUGAAGCUGGACCCUUUAUAUCAUAUAAAAAAAUUAAUUCCAAAUGGAUUAAAGACCUAAAUGUGAGAGCAAAUCUAGGAAACUCUUAGAAGAAAACAAAUAAAUCUUCAUGACCUGGAUAUGACAGUGGAUUCUAGCUAUGACAACAAAAGCACGAGCAAGGAACAAAAGAAAAGAAUUGGACUUAAUAAAAAUUUAGUACGUUUGUGCAUCAAAGGACACUAUCAAGGGAUGGGAAAGACAGCCCACAGAAUGGGAGAAAAUAUUAUUAAGUUAUAUCUGACAAGGGUGUGUAAUCCACCAUGUACAAAGAACUCUCACAACUCGGCAACAAAAAGACAAAACCCAAUUUGAAAAUGGGAGAAGACUUGGGGAGCCUGAGGGGCUCAGAUGGUUGGGCGUCCGACUUCGGCCCAGGUCAUGAUUUCACUGCUCAUGAGUUCAAGCCCCGUGUUAGGCUCUGCUGACAGCUCAGAGCCUGGAGCCUGCUUUGGAUUCUCUGUGUGUGUCUCUCUCUCUUCCCCUUCCCUCCUGGCACUCUGUCUCUCUCUCUCUCUCGCUCUCAAAAAUAAAUAUUAAAAAAAUUUUUAAAAAUGGGCAAAAGACUUGAGUAGACGUUUUUCCAAAGAUGUACAAAUGGCCAACAAGCACAUGAAAAGAUGCUCAACAUUAGUCAUUAAAGAAAUGCAUAUCAAAAACUACAGUGAUAUACCACCUCACCUCCCUGCCAGGACAGCAAGAAAAAGAAAAUUCCCAAACCCCCCAAAAAAUCCAGAAGAUAAGUAUUGGUGGGGAUGUGGAGAAAUUGGUAAUCUCAUACAUUGCUAGAGGUCCAUAAUGAUGCAUCUGCUGUGUUAAACAGUUUGGUGUUUCCUCAACAGGUUAAACCUAGAAUUACUGUAUGACUUAGUGAUUCUGUUCUUAGGUAUUUGUCAUAAGAAUUGAAAAAAAAUUGUCGGAACAAAAACUUAUGUUCAUGAUAGCCAAAAGACAGAAACAACCCAAAUGCCCAUUAGUGGAUGAGUGGGUAAAUAAAACACGGUAUAGUUGUGUGAUUCACACAGUGGAAUACGUGUUACAAUAUAUGUUUGCUUAUUUAUUUUUUCUAUUUUAGAGCACGAGCUGGGGAGAGAGUCAGAGGAAGAGAGAAAAUCUUAAGUGCAGAGCCUGAAGCAGGGCUCAAUCCCACGACCCUGGGAUCAUGAUCUGAGCCGAAAUCAAGAGUCGGAUGUUCAGUCGACUGAGCCACCCAGUCACACUGCGAAUGGGAACUGGGAAGAUGGUGCAGAUUAGAAGACAGCGAGGUGGCAGCCCGGGGUCGGCCCCACAUCGAGCUCAUGUUUACCGGCCUCUCUGCUUGUGUCCUUGCUGGGCUGACGCACCUGCGAGGAUCAACGCCUCCUGACAGGAGCUUGAGCCAAGAAGGGAGCUGAACACCCGUGUACUCGCACCUGCAGGGUCCCCACCCUGCGUCUGUGGCCUACCGUGACUCCAGCAGUGUGCGGGCGAC